RNAcentral lists this transfer RNA (72 nucleotides) under Lachnospiraceae bacterium YSD2013. It matches the Rfam family "tRNA". Rfam says of the family: Transfer RNA (tRNA) molecules are approximately 80 nucleotides in length. The record is from Rfam by way of RNAcentral. RNAcentral also lists the same sequence under 2 other names. Lineage: Bacteria; Bacillati; Bacillota; Clostridia; Lachnospirales; Lachnospiraceae.
GCGCGAGUGGCUCAGCGGUGGAGCACCACCUUGCCAAGGUGGGGGCCGCGGGUUCGAUCCCCGUCUCGCGCU